Molecule: ribosomal RNA, 450 nt
Filed under: uncultured bacterium
Lineage: Bacteria
Description: partial 16S ribosomal RNA
Rfam family: Bacterial small subunit ribosomal RNA
Source: RNAcentral
GUGGGGAAUUUUGGACAAUGGGCGCAAGCCUGAUCCAGCCAUUCCGCGUGCAGGAUGAAGGCCUUCGGGUUGUAAACUGCUUUUGUACGGAACGAAAAGCCUCUGGUUAAUACCCGGGGGUCAUGACGGUACCGUAAGAAUAAGCACCGGCUAACUACGUGCCAGCAGCCGCGGUAAUACGUAGGGUGCGAGCGUUAAUCGGAAUUACUGGGCGUAAAGCGUGCGCAGGCGGUGAUGUAAGACAGUUGUGAAAUCCCCGGGCUCAACCUGGGAACUGCAUCAGUGCAUGCAUUGCUGGAGUGCGGCAGAGGGGGAUGGAAUUCCGCGUGUAGCAGUGAAAUGCGUAGAUAUGCGGAGGAACACCGAUGGCGAAGGCAAUCCCCUGGGCCUGCACUGACGCUCAUGCACGAAAGCGUGGGGAGCAAACAGGAUUAGAAACCCUGGUAGUCC